UACGUAGGGGGCAAGCGUUGUCCGGAAUUACUGGGCGUAAAGCGUGCGCAGGCGGUUGUGCAAGACAGAUGUGAAAUCCCCGGGCUUAACCUGGGAAUUGCAUUUGUGACUGCACGGCUAGAGUGUGUCAGAGGGGGGUAGAAUUCCACGUGUAGCAGUGAAAUGCGUAGAUAUGUGGAGGAAUACCGAUGGCGAAGGCAGCCCCCUGGGAUAACACUGACGCUCAUGCACGAAAGCGUGGGGAGCAAACAGG
This 253-nucleotide ribosomal RNA is filed under the name uncultured Oxalobacter sp. RNAcentral's name for it is "partial 16S ribosomal RNA". It matches the Rfam family "Bacterial small subunit ribosomal RNA", at positions 524 to 776 of the family's 1533-position model. Lineage: Bacteria; Pseudomonadati; Pseudomonadota; Betaproteobacteria; Burkholderiales; Oxalobacteraceae. The record is from RNAcentral.